Molecule: non-coding RNA, 1393 nt
Organism: Danio rerio (zebrafish)
Lineage: Eukaryota; Metazoa; Chordata; Actinopteri; Cypriniformes; Danionidae
Source: RefSeq, a predicted model, not a curated record
ACCCUGUACUAAAAUGGCGGAUCUAUUGACGCAUUCUGUCCAUAAAGCAACAUUAGGGUAGGCGACAUUUAACGUAUAUAUCUAUGGACGCUAACUAGUAUUCACGUCGUAUCAUGCUCAACUCUUAAUACUCUUUUACGCACUUUGAGAGUGUUUGCGUUAUUUCAGAGAGAUAUUUAAGCACAUAUGAAGUAACAGUGCCAUCUGUGUACUAUAGCUACACAAUGCAGCAUUUAGCUCGCUCGUAAACAUCGCUGCUGUCCUCAGAUCAUUGUCUGAGCAGAAGUUUCAUCAUUAGCCCUGCCUGUCAGAUGCUCUUCAUCUCAGGAGCUGUAUUUUUAGAUGCUUGAUAACAGAUAUAAGGUGAGUUAAUAGAACACAGCCAGGAACUCUUCUGCGCGAGUCAGCGUGACGUGCGUGCGCGGGCUCAUCAUUUGAAUUAAAUAACGGACACAAGCAACGGGCGGAACGGUAAUGAAAGAGAUGGUCUCCUCGCAAGAGAAGCUAGCAGCAUUGAAUGGGGAAGCUUGCUAUUUCUUUCGCUGGAAUCUCCAAUUGAAAACAUCAUCGUGUGCGCUUAGACUUCUGUUCCAGUUCUGACUACACACCACUCUGCUUAUGUGGAUCACUGACUACUAUGUUCUCUGAAGUGGGGGAAACCGGAGCACCUGGAGGAAACCCACGCAAACUCCACACAGAGACGCCAACUGAUCCAGCCAAGGCUCGAACCAACGACCUUCUUGCUGUGAGGCGCCACUGCAGCGCAGUACCAGAAGCAGGUGCAGCCAAACUGCGACACAACAGCCACGGAAUUUACAGGGCCGUGAGAGAUCACCUGUACGGUCUGGCGGUGGCAGACGCAGAGCGGAAAAACUAUCUGAUGCUUUUGUUGUUGUUAAUGUUAAAUUGACCAAUACAUGUUUUGUCAUUACUUUUGUCUGCAAAUAUUAGGCUAAUAAAUAAUAUUUUUUAAACAAAAUGUUGAAUUUCUGAAUCAUGUGAAUUUUCUAAAACGUUUAUAAAGGUAUUUCUCACAACCAAAUUUCGACUUAAAAUUGACGUAUUUUCGACGACAUGAAAAAGACGUCUUUUCACCUUUCACUUUCCCACCUGUUUUCCACGUUGUUUGGACGUCUUACAAUUACGUUUUUUCGACGACAUGAAAAAGACGUCUUUUCACCUUUCACUUUCCCACCUGUUUUCCACGUUGUUUGGACGUCUUACAAUUACGUCUUUUCGACGACGUAAAAAAGACGUAGUUUCGUCUUUCACUUUCCCACCUGUUUUCCACGUUGUUUGGACGUCUGACAAUGUCGUCUUUUCAACGUCUUUUCGACGAACUAUUGCUGGGUGGGGAGCUCAUCUGUUUGUCGGAACUACUAGACACAAUUUU